This 245-nucleotide long non-coding RNA is filed under the name Elaeis guineensis (African oil palm). RNAcentral describes it as "long non-coding RNA (EGUI_LNC078104)". The record is from RNAcentral. Lineage: Eukaryota; Viridiplantae; Streptophyta; Magnoliopsida; Arecales; Arecaceae.
GAUCAGCCUGGAACAGCCCUCUUCAAUCUGAAUUUUUUUCUCCAAAAAUUCAGCCUGCUGAAUCUGAACGAAGCCUGGAUCACGAUCAACUCUUGAUCUCUUUUUUUGAUCUUCUUCCUCUCCUAUUCUCUAACCUUUCUCCUUGCUUUGUGCUGCUACAAAACACUAGCAACCAAAUAGGGGAUGCCUAACAACUUGCUCAUCGAGGAGAACUUGGGACGUCUCAUGUAUGGGGUGUGUGGGAC